This 253-nucleotide ribosomal RNA is filed under the name uncultured bacterium. RNAcentral's name for it is "partial 16S ribosomal RNA". It matches the Rfam family "Bacterial small subunit ribosomal RNA", at positions 524 to 776 of the family's 1533-position model. The record is from RNAcentral.
UACGUAGGGUGCAAGCGUUGUCCGGAAUUAUUGGGCGUAAAGAGCGUGUAGGCGGCCAAGCAGGUCCGCUGUGAAAACUCGAGGCUCAACCUCGAGACGUCGGUGGAAACCGUUUGGCUAGAGUCCGGAAGAGGAGAGUGGAAUUCCCGGUGUAGCGGUGAAAUGCGCAGAUAUCGGGAAGAACACCCGUGGCGAAGGCGGCUCUCUGGGACGGUACUGACGCUGAGACGCGAAAGCGUGGGGAGCGAACAGG